Non-coding RNA from Caenorhabditis brenneri, 77 nucleotides. NCBI's taxonomy places the organism in Eukaryota, Metazoa, Nematoda, Chromadorea, Rhabditida, Rhabditidae. The record is from the annotation of a GenBank genome assembly.
AACCCCGUGGCCGAGUGGCUAACGUGUUUGUUUUUGAAUCCGAAGGUGACUCCCGGGUUCGAACCCGGGUAAGGUCA